GUCUUUUUGAUAUGCUUGUGAACAACCAGGCCCCCUACUUCACGCAAAAAUUUCCUUCAAAAUUUGGUAUUAGGUUACUGUUUGGAAAAAAAAAAAAAAAAAAAAACACAAUGACAAGAGCUUCGUAAAGGCACCACGGUCCCCUACACAUCACCACCCAUCAUUGUCANUGGUCUUCAAAGUACCACCACCACCACCACCAUAGAUGUAGCGCUUGGCACGAGGCAACACUGUUGGUACCUAUCUGGCCUCCAGAUGUUACCGAGGGACUAAGAUCCUUUGGAAUCUAGUCGCCAUCCAAAC
RNAcentral lists this unclassified non-coding RNA (303 nucleotides) under Hevea brasiliensis (rubber tree). The record is from RNAcentral. Lineage: Eukaryota; Viridiplantae; Streptophyta; Magnoliopsida; Malpighiales; Euphorbiaceae.